CCCGUAUAAUAGAUCUCUCUCUUCCCUCUUUGCCGUAUAGACCUCUCUCUUCCCUCUCGCUCAUCUCUCCUUCUCUCUUUCCCGUGGACAUCUAUCUCCCUCUCGUUCGCAAGCUUUCCUCUUCACAAUCUCGAAUCCAACCACCACCACUACUCUGUUGGUUGUCUCUCUCCCUCUCGUUCUAAACGACUGGCAGCCAUGCGAAUCUCGAAGCCGACGCGAAUCAAGUCCCAAAAUCAAGGGGGCCUGAAGCUCCAGGGCAGCUGUAUUCUCUUCCUUUAGGCUUUGGAAGAGUUCGUUCUGCUGCGAGUCAACCUUACCCUUCUGCAGGAGUCCAUGGGGGGCCUGAAGCUCUAGGGCAGCUGCAUUCACCUCAUUUGGCCUUUGAAAGAGCUCGUUCUGCUGCAAGUCAUUCUUACCCAUCUGCAGGAGUCCAUAGUGUAUAGAUGUCGCAGUUGAUCAUUCGUCGUCGGAGUGUAACCAAUGAGCUUCCCGCAUUAUCAGCAUCUACUGCUCCAGGUCGAACACCGCAGAGGUCGAUGCAUUGAAGGAGGAAGUGACAACCCUAAAGGGUUAGCUUGCGGUCCAGGGCCAACAAAUGAUGGCCCAGGGCGAGGAGCUGAAGGCUUGUGUUGGGCACGUGAGAGACCUUGUAAGAACCAUACAGAUGAUCGGCAUCCAAAUCUCGCUACCAGUACCUGAUUUUGCUCCACCUUCGACCUCCAAGCCACUUCAUAGAAGACUCAUUGUAAUUUUUUUUUUGUUCGGACAUCUUGUAUGUACAUUUUCAUAUAUUUAUAAUUAAAUACUUUUAUUUGGUUAA
This is a long non-coding RNA of Malus domestica (apple), 823 nucleotides long. RefSeq lists it as uncharacterized. NCBI's taxonomy places the organism in Eukaryota, Viridiplantae, Streptophyta, Magnoliopsida, Rosales, Rosaceae. The record is from RefSeq and is a predicted model, not a curated record.